UAAAGCGAGCGCCACUCUGAAUCCACGUGCUGACUUGAUCCUGGCCAAGUGCGGCAGAUACGUAGGGGGAAAGUUUGGGCUCUGGCAACGAAUCAUUUACGAAACAAGGACCAGCUUACUUUUCGAGCGAGAGUUUCACGAUCCCGACCAGCAACUUGUUGGGAUUUUAAUAUUUGUGUAUUGCUUUCAAAUUGGCCCAUAACUAAAAAAUCCAGACCUAUUGAUUGGCGGUUCAACUCUUUCUUCUUACCAGGACGCCGGCACAUCGCCUCUCUUUCGCCACCGCCCUUCUGUAACGCUUCACAUCAACAUUCAAUCCACCUUGUGCUUCUCUUUCUGGCUAUUGUCUCUGUUCCGUGUAUGUUGCUUUCAAAGCAGUUCAUCUUGAAGAAACAACAUGAAGCUAUCCAGAAGCAACAAGGUCAGUCUUAUGCACCUCUUGAGGAGACGGAUGAGAGUAUUCAUGUAUCGACAAGCGGAGGAUCACAUGGGCACGGGAGUUUGAAUUCAGCGACAUCUUUGUGCAUCAGUUUUUUCACACCAUAGAAUUUUUUGCUUAGAGCUGUUUCCAACACCUCUUCUUACCUGCGUAUAUGGGCUCUCAGUCUUGCACACUCGGAGAUAUCGUCAGUCUUCUAUGAGACUAUGAGAAGGUCCUCCUUCUCGCUUGGAAUACAACAAUGUGUUGAUCCUGAUCGUUGGGAUCAUUGUUUUCAUAUUGUGGGAUUGCUGCUGGUGAUAGAGACACAGAGCACGUUCCUUCACGCACUGCGUCUCCACUUGGUGAAGUUUCAGAACAAAUUCUACGAAGGAGAUAGUUCCAAGUUCGCUCCUUUCUCUUUCAUUCUCACUGGAAACGAAGACGACUGAUAGGGAUGAAUGAUUGUUCCACUCCCCUCCCAUUCUCUGCAAAAUUUGCUUAUAUAAAAAAGGAACAAGACAAACCAAGUUUUAUUUAUUUUUUGCCAAUAUAUUUUUCCCCUUCCACAUUCAGGGUGGGUGGAAUAAAAUAUGUUUAUUUUGUUUGCCUGUCUGGAGAUUAGAUUUUUUAAACAACAGUGGAGAAGGGGCUAAUGGAAUUUGUAUGAGGCAAAACUCAUUUGUUGAUGUGUUUGUUUGGAGUUAAAUACGUGAGGAUUUGUUUCCACUUA
Brassica napus (rape) is the source of this 1151-nucleotide long non-coding RNA. RefSeq lists it as uncharacterized. NCBI's taxonomy places the organism in Eukaryota, Viridiplantae, Streptophyta, Magnoliopsida, Brassicales, Brassicaceae. The record is from RefSeq and is a predicted model, not a curated record. The transcript is spliced from 5 exons.